CCUACGGGUGGCUGCAGUCGAGAAUCAUUCACAAUGGGGGAAACCCUGAUGGUGCGACGCCGCGUGGGGGAAUGAAGGUCUUCGGAUUGUAAACCCCUGUCAUGUGGGAGCAAAUUAAAAAGAUAGUACCACAAGAGGAAGAGACGGCUCACUCUGUGCCAGCAGCCGCGGUAAUACAGAGGUCUCAAGCGGUGUUCGGAAUCACUGGGCGUAAAGGGGGCGUAGGCUGUUUCGUAAGUCGUGUGUGAAAGGCGCGGGCCCAACCCGCGGAGGGCACAAGAUACUGCGAGACUAGAGUAUUGGAGGGGGAACCGGAAUUCUCGGUGUAGCAGUGAAAUGCGUAGAUAUCGAGAGGAACACUCGUGGUGAAGGCGGGUUCCUGGACAUUAACUGACGCUGAGGCACGAAGGCCAGGGGAGCGAAAGGGAUUAGAUACCCCAGUAGUC
RNAcentral lists this ribosomal RNA (446 nucleotides) under uncultured bacterium. RNAcentral describes it as "partial 16S ribosomal RNA". It matches the Rfam family "Bacterial small subunit ribosomal RNA", at positions 338 to 795 of the family's 1533-position model. The record is from RNAcentral.